GCGCACGGGUGAGUAACGCGUAGCCAACCUUCCCGCAACUGGGGAAUAACCUUGCGAAAGUAAGACUAAUACCCCAUGGUCUCCACGGAUGGCAUCUGAAAUGGAGUAAAGGUUCCGGCCGGUUGCGGAUGGGGAUGCGUCCGAUUAGCUUGACGGCGGGGUAACGGCCCACCGUGGCAUCGAUCGGUAGGGGUUCUGAGAGGAAGGUCCCCCACAUUGGAACUGAGACACGGUCCAAACUCC
Molecule: ribosomal RNA, 243 nt
Filed under: uncultured Prevotellaceae bacterium
Lineage: Bacteria; Pseudomonadati; Bacteroidota; Bacteroidia; Bacteroidales; Prevotellaceae
Description: partial 16S ribosomal RNA
Rfam family: Bacterial small subunit ribosomal RNA
Source: RNAcentral